RNAcentral lists this ribosomal RNA (497 nucleotides) under uncultured bacterium. RNAcentral describes it as "partial 16S ribosomal RNA". It matches the Rfam family "Bacterial small subunit ribosomal RNA", at positions 28 to 507 of the family's 1533-position model. The record is from RNAcentral.
GAUGAACGCUGGCGGCGUGCCUAAUACAUGCAAGUCGAGCGAACGGACGAGAAGCUUGCUUCUCUGAUGUUAGCGGCGGACGGGUGAGUAACACGUGGAUAACCUACCUAUAAGACUGGGAUAACUUCGGGAAACCGUAGCUAAUACCGGAUAAUAUUUUGAACCGCAUGGUUCAAAAGUGAAAGACGGUCUUGCUGUCACUUAUAGCUGGAUCCGCGCUGCAUUAGCUAGUUGGUAAGGUAGCGGCUUACCAAGGCAACGAUGCAUAGCCGACCUGAGAGGGUGAUCGGCCACACUGGAACUGAGACACGGUCCAGACUCCUACGGGAGGCAGCAGUAGGGAAUCUUCCGCAAUGGGCGAAAGCCUGACGGAGCAACGCCGCGUGAGUGAUGAAGGUCUUCGGAUCGUAAAACUCUGUUAUUAGGGAAGAACAUAUGUGUAAGUAACUGUGCACAUCUUGACGGUACCUAAUCAGAAAGCCACGGCUAACUACGUG